Molecule: long non-coding RNA, 1092 nt
Filed under: Linum usitatissimum (flax)
Lineage: Eukaryota; Viridiplantae; Streptophyta; Magnoliopsida; Malpighiales; Linaceae
Description: long non-coding RNA (LUSI_LNC006495)
Source: RNAcentral
AGAAAUCAUACAACAACCUCAAAGCCACACAAAAGACUAUAACAGUUCUGCUUCUCCUAAUUCUUCUCUUACUAUGGGUGCUCCGUCGAAUACAGUGAUCGUGUCGGUUACGAUGCUGCAGCAUGCUGAUGGAGAUCGUUGCAACCGCUAUCGUUAUGGCGAUAGUAUUGCUGCCGAAUGGCGUGGUAAUGAAGGCGACGAUGGGGAUGAUGACGACGACGGUGGAGAUGACGAUUUCGCCCCUGCUGCUUAACUAGAAUCAUGGUGAUGAUGUAUGAUGAUGGUUAUAGGGUCCAUAACUGCAUAAUUAGUAAGCUAAUGUAUUAGAGCGGCUUUUUCUCUUUAUGUAAUUGACUUUUAUAUAUAUCACGAGUCGAGUUUUUCAUCCAGCUGGUAGGCCUGACAUAUAUAAUAUUUUUAAUUUUGAUUUUCUUUUUGUAUUUGCUUAGCUUAAUUGGAGAAAUAUUAAAAGAGUGUGAUGAGUACUAACUCCUUUGGCCGAGAAGACUACUAAGACUAACUGUCCGGACUUCUUGAGCUAACUCAAGGCCCAUUUAGAGUUUCUGAUGUAUAUUUUCCCAGAAAUCCACCAACACAAAGAACACAAUCAUACAAACAACAACAACAAUCAGAAGCUGAUAUUCUCUGCUUGAUUCGACUUCUUCUUCUUUCGAUAUGGGUGCUCUGUUGAACAUUGCCAUGUUGGUUAUGAUGCUGCAGCAUGCAGAUGGUAAUUGCUGCUGCUAUCAUAAUUAUGUCAACACUACUGUUAUUGCUUCCGAAUGGCGGUGGUAAUGAAGGCGACGAUGGGGAUGAUGACGAAGACGACAGUGGAGAUUACGAUUUCGCUCCUGCUGCUUAAUUAGCAUGAUGAUGAUGAUGCUUGCAACUCAAUAAUUAGUUAGCUAGCUAAUUCUGGCUAAAUAUAUAUAGAGCGCGGCAAAUGCAACACGUACCGUUUUGUAAGAAAUGAGAGGCUGUUUUCUCAUUACAUAUAAUUUGACGUUGGUAGCCCAGCUGACAUAUAUAAUAUUUUUAUUUGUAUGUUUUAUAUUUUCUUAUCCUUAAUUGAGUAAUACUAAUAAUGUGCGA